This 1348-nucleotide long non-coding RNA is filed under the name Mus musculus (house mouse). RNAcentral describes it as "long non-coding RNA chr9:73092167-73093515". The record is from RNAcentral. Lineage: Eukaryota; Metazoa; Chordata; Mammalia; Rodentia; Muridae.
UCAGGAGGGCUACACAGAGAAGUUCUGUCUUGAAAACCAAGCCAAACCAAAAGACCAAGCUGCUCUGGAAUGUGCAGAACUGGUGCCUCUGGCAUGCUGGGACUGCAGGCAUGCACCACCACAUCCAGAAAGAAUGCUGUUACUAAGAAAAGCCUCUCCAUGUCUGACUGUGCCUAUUUUGUUUGUUUGUUUGUUUGUUUGUUUUGUUUUGUUUUUUAAAGAUGUAUGAGCUGGGCGUGGUGGCACACACCUUUAAUCCCAGCACUAGGGAGACAGAGGCAGGCAGAUUUCUGAGUUUGAGGCCAGCCUGGUCUACAAAGUGAGUUCCAGGACAGCCAGGGCUAUACAGAGAAACCCUGUCUCCAAAAAACCAACCAACCAACCAAACAAAAAAAGAUGUAUGUAUUUAUUUUAUUUAUGAGUACACUGUAGCUGUCUUCAGACAUACCAGAAGAGAGGGCAUUGGAUCCCAUUACAGAUGGUUGUGAACCACUAUGUGGUUGCUGGGAAUUGAACUCAGAACCUCUGGAAGAGCAGUCAGUGUUCUUAACCACUGAGCCAUCUCUCCAGCCCUGACUGUCUGUGUUAAGUGUUGUACCUGUGUCUGUCUCAGGCCCUUAGCACCAUGACCUCCAGUUACUGCUCCUUUUCACGGAUAAGAAGGCUCCAGAGCUAUGUGGGGAGCACAGUGCUUGCUCUACAGCUUAGAAUACUUGCUGUUUCCUGACUGUUCAGUACUGACUCUCCUAGAAUUCACGAACAUAGACCAGGCUGGCCUGGAAUUCACAGAGAUCGGCCUGCGGCUGAUAUCGUGUGGGGCUCUGUGACCAAUCCAGAGUCUGUUGUUGCUUUUGGUUUUGAAGCAGGCUCCUGUCAGAUGGUUCUGCGGUCCAGGCCAGCCUGGCACUUUGCAUACGCAAGUCUCGGCUUCCCAAGUGCGUUUAACACAAACUAACAAGCAAACAAACAAAAGCAUAACACGGUAAGCUGAGAGGGGUGGUGCACAUCUGCAGUCGGAAUACUGGACAGGCUGAAGCAGGAGGACUGUGAAUUUGAGGCUACCUUGACUACAUAGAAAAUCCCAAACCCAUUUGAGUUACCUAGUUAAAUCCUGUCUCAAAAACCAAAAGGUUGUGGGUGUUGCUCACUCAUGGAUCCAAGAGGGUGUUUCGGUUGAACAGGGGCUAUAGGGUGUGUGAGAACCUAUGUAGGAAUGCAGGGCCAGGCAUAGUGAUGUACACCCGAAAGCCUAGCUUGGGAGGUAGAGGCAGGAGGAUCCUAAGUUUAAGGACAGCCUCACAACACAACAAAUUUGAGGAAAGCCUGGGCUACAUUAGACCCUGUCUCC